Molecule: ribosomal RNA, 543 nt
Filed under: Ascomycota sp. EF37
Lineage: Eukaryota; Fungi; Ascomycota
Description: eukaryotic LSU rRNA
Rfam family: 5.8S ribosomal RNA (bases 196-349)
Source: RNAcentral
UCCGUAGGGUGACCUGCGGAGGGAUCAUUACACAAAUAUGAAGGCGGGCUGGAACCUCUCGGGGUUACAGCCUUGCUGAAUUAUUCACCCUUGUCUUUUGCGUACUUCUUGUUUCCUUGGUGGGUUCGCCCACCACUAGGACAAACAUAAACCUUUUGUAAUUGCAAUCAGCGUCAGUAACAAAUUAAUAAUUACAACUUUCAACAACGGAUCUCUUGGUUCUGGCAUCGAUGAAGAACGCAGCGAAAUGCGAUAAGUAGUGUGAAUUGCAGAAUUCAGUGAAUCAUCGAAUCUUUGAACGCACAUUGCGCCCUUUGGUAUUCCAAAGGGCAUGCCUGUUCGAGCGUCAUUUGUACCCUCAAGCUUUGCUUGGUGUUGGGCGUCUUGUCUCUAGCUUUGCUGGAGACUCGCCUUAAAGUAAUUGGCAGCCGGCCUACUGGUUUCGGAGCGCAGCACAAGUCGCACUCUCUAUCAGCAAAGGUCUAGCAUCCAUUAAGCCUUUUUUUCAACUUUGACCUCGGAUCAGGCUCGUAUGGAACCCCG